This 868-nucleotide ribosomal RNA is filed under the name Halomonas sp. K6-28L-030. Its description in RNAcentral is "bacterial SSU rRNA". It matches the Rfam family "Bacterial small subunit ribosomal RNA", at positions 45 to 904 of the family's 1533-position model. The record is from RNAcentral. Lineage: Bacteria; Pseudomonadati; Pseudomonadota; Gammaproteobacteria; Oceanospirillales; Halomonadaceae.
GGCCUAACACAUGCGAGUCGAGCGGCAGCACGGGAAGCUUGCUUCCUGGUGGCGAGCGGCGGACGGGUGAGUAAUGCAUAGAAAUCUGCCCGGUAGUGGGGGAUAACCUGGGGAAACCCAGGCUAAUACCGCAUACGUCCUACGGGAGAAAGCAGGGGAUCUUCGGACCUUGCGCUAUCGGAUGAGUCUAUGUCGGAUUAGCUUGUUGGUGAGGUAAUGGCUCACCAAGGCGACGAUCCGUAGCUGGUCUGAGAGGAUGAUCAGCCACAUCGGGACUGAGACACGGCCCGAACUCCUACGGGAGGCAGCAGUGGGGAAUAUUGGACAAUGGGCGAAAGCCUGAUCCAGCCAUGCCGCGUGUGUGAAGAAGGCCUUCGGGUUGUAAAGCACUUUCAGUGGGGAAGAAAGCCUUGGGGCUAAUACCCUCGAGGAAGGACAUCACCCACAGAAGAAGCACCGGCUAACUCCGUGCCAGCAGCCGCGGUAAUACGGAGGGUGCGAGCGUUAAUCGGAAUUACUGGGCGUAAAGCGCGCGUAGGCGGUCUGAUAAGCCGGUUGUGAAAGCCCCGGGCUCAACCUGGGAACGGCAUCCGGAACUGUCAGGCUAGAGUGCAGGAGAGGAAGGUAGAAUUCCCGGUGUAGCGGUGAAAUGCGUAGAGAUCGGGAGGAAUACCAGUGGCGAAGGCGGCCUUCUGGACUGACACUGACGCUGAGGUGCGAAAGCGUGGGUAGCAAACAGGAUUAGAUACCCUGGUAGUCCACGCCGUAAACGAUGUCGACUAGCCGUUGGGCUCCUUGAGAGCUUUGUGGCGCAGUUAACGCGAUAAGUCGACCGCCUGGGGAGUACGGCCGCAAGGUUAAUACUCAA